Molecule: non-coding RNA, 110 nt
Filed under: Paenibacillus sp.
Lineage: Bacteria; Bacillati; Bacillota; Bacilli; Caryophanales; Paenibacillaceae
Also listed under: 1 other name
Description: TPP sequence
Rfam family: TPP riboswitch aptamer (THI element)
About the family: Vitamin B(1) in its active form thiamin pyrophosphate (TPP) is an essential coenzyme that is synthesised by coupling of pyrimidine and thiazole moieties in bacteria. The previously detected thiamin-regulatory element, thi box was extended, resulting in a new, highly conserved RNA secondary structure, the THI element, which is widely distributed in eubacteria and also occurs in some archaea.
Source: RNAcentral
UUGAUCUACUAGGGGGGCCCAUGCUUGGGCUGAGAGAGAGGCAGAAAGCCGCUUGACCCUUUGGACCUGAUCUGGCUAAUACCAGCGUAGGAAAGUAGGAGCGCAUUCUU